CCAGACUCCUACGGGAGGCAGCAGUGGGGAAUUUUGGACAAUGGGCGAAAGCCUGAUCCAGCAAUGCCGCGUGAGUGAAGAAGGCCUUCGGGUUGUAAAGCUCUUUUGUCAGGGAAGAAACGGUGAGGGCUAAUAUCUCUUGCUAAUGACGGUACCUGAAGAAUAAGCACCGGCUAACUACGUGCCAGCAGCCGCGGUAAUACGUAGGGUGCAAGCGUUAAUCGGAAUUACUGGGCGUAAAGCGUGCGCAGGCGGUUUUGUAAGUCUGAUGUGAAAUCCCCGGGCUCAACCUGGGAAUUGCAUUGGAGACUGCAAGGCUAGAAUCUGGCAGAGGGGGGUAGAAUUCCACGUGUAGCAGUGAAAUGCGUAGAUAUGUGGAGGAACACCGAUGGCGAAGGCAGCCCCCUGGGUCAAGAUUGACGCUCAUGCACGAAAGCGUGGGGAGCAAACAGGAUUAGAUACCCUGGUAGUCCACGCCCUAAACGAUGUCUACUAGUUGUCGGGUCUUAAUUGACUUGGUAACGCAGCUAACGCGUGAAGUAGACCGCCUGGGGAGUACGGUCGCAAGAUUAAAACUCAAAGGAAUUGACGGGGACCCGCACAAGCGGUGGAUGAUGUGGAUUAAUUCGAUGCAACGCGAAAAACCUUACCUACCCUUGACAUGGAUGGAAUCCCGGAGAGAU
RNAcentral lists this ribosomal RNA (683 nucleotides) under Janthinobacterium violaceinigrum. RNAcentral describes it as "bacterial SSU rRNA". It matches the Rfam family "Bacterial small subunit ribosomal RNA", at positions 331 to 1007 of the family's 1533-position model. Lineage: Bacteria; Pseudomonadati; Pseudomonadota; Betaproteobacteria; Burkholderiales; Oxalobacteraceae. The record is from RNAcentral.